This 292-nucleotide ribosomal RNA is filed under the name uncultured Acidobacteriota bacterium. RNAcentral's name for it is "uncultured Acidobacteria bacterium partial 16S ribosomal RNA". The record is from RNAcentral. Lineage: Bacteria; Pseudomonadati; Acidobacteriota.
GGACUACUGGGGUAUCUAAUCCUGUUUGCUACCCACGCUUUCGUGUCUCAGCGUCAGUUACGGUCCAGAGAGCCGUCUACACCACCGGUGUUCCUCCUGAUAUCUACGCAUUUCACCGCUACACCAGGAAUUCCACUCUCCCCUCCCGCACUCUAGCCCCCCAGUUUUCGGCGCACCCUCCCGGUUGAGCCGGGAGAUUUCACACCAAACUUAGGGAGCCGCCUACACACCCUUUACGCCCAGUAACUCCGAACAACGCUCGCUGCCUACGUAUUACCGCGGCUGCUGGCAC